Molecule: ribosomal RNA, 460 nt
Filed under: uncultured bacterium
Lineage: Bacteria
Description: partial 16S ribosomal RNA
Rfam family: Bacterial small subunit ribosomal RNA
Source: RNAcentral
CCUACGGGGUGCAGCAGUGAGGAAUAUUGGUCAAUGGGCAUAAGCCUGAACCAGCCAAGUCGCGUGAGGGAUGAAGGUUCUAUGGAUCGUAAACCUCUUUUAUAAGGGAAUAAAGUGUGGGACGUGUCCUGUUUUGUAUGUACCUUAUGAAUAAGGAUCGGCUAACUCCGUGCCAGCAGCCGCGGUAAUACGGAGGAUCCGAGCGUUAUCCGGAUUUAUUGGGUUUAAGGGGUGCGUAGGCGGCCUUUUAAGUCAGCGGUGAAAGUCUGUGGCUCAACCAUAGAAUUGCCGUUGAAACUGGGAGGCUUGAGUAUGUUUGAGGCAGGCGGAAUGCGUGGUGUAGCGGUGAAAUGCUUAGAUAUCACGCAGAACCCCGAUUGCGAAGGCAGCCUGCCAAGCCAUGACUGACGCUGAUGCACGAAAGCGUGGGGAUCAAACAGGAUUAGAUACCCUAGUAGUC